Molecule: non-coding RNA, 21 nt
Filed under: Caenorhabditis elegans
Lineage: Eukaryota; Metazoa; Nematoda; Chromadorea; Rhabditida; Rhabditidae
Source: RNAcentral
UAUUUUUUAAAAAUUGUAGAA